Molecule: transfer RNA, 59 nt
Filed under: Succinea erythrophana
Lineage: Eukaryota; Metazoa; Mollusca; Gastropoda; Stylommatophora; Succineidae
Description: tRNA-Asp
Source: RNAcentral
AUUUAAUUUAAAUUAAAAUAUUUGCUUGUCAGGUAAAAAAUCUUAUAAAUUUUAAGAGU